Equus asinus (donkey) is the source of this 939-nucleotide long non-coding RNA. Lineage: Eukaryota; Metazoa; Chordata; Mammalia; Perissodactyla; Equidae. The record is from Ensembl.
UCUUAAUCUUUCCGUGGGUUAAGUUUUACGGAACUGGCUGUUUUUUUUGGUCUGUGCUGAUCCACGCUCCGCGUCUCCGUCUUCGCUGAAAUUGCUGCUCCUGAGCGCAGAUGACAUUUGAGCAAAGACCUAAGUAAAGACCCACGAAAGGAGUUAGCCAUGUGGCCAUUUGAGGGAAUGUCCGCAAGAAGGCUCCAAGAUAGUCCGCAAGGAGGCCAGUGCAACUGAUGCGGAAUGAGACGCGGAAGGAGAGGAACUGAGCUCUCCAAGGCGGUGGAUGUCACAUCACGUAAGACGUGACAAUGGACAUGAGGGAGGAGGGCAACAUCUGGGCCUCAGCCAUCAUCUGUCCUUCGCGGGCACUGGAUAAUCUUCAUCAAGUUCAGUCUUUGGUAACUGGCCUCUGGCUUCCACGGUCUGGGCUCCCCCCAUGCCCUACCGUCAUCAGUCUGUGCAGCUCUUUUUGUUCUGUUGGUGUCUUUAAAUAAUGCACUUAAACAUGGAUUUCUGCUGAGCUUACCCCAGGCCAAAAGCCCAACACUGUUCUCUGAAGAGAAGUGAGGCAGGGGAGGUUGAACUACUCAAACUCGGUUUCUGCUUCCUACCUCACCACCUGGAUGAUUCAUGGCUCCUCCCCCGUGACAGAAUGUGUGAGAGACGGGAGAGUCCGGGGUUGCGAUAACUGAUGAGAAAAGAAAGCAGGGGGAGAAGCCGUUCACAGUGAUCACGUUUGACUUCUUCUGUUGACAGAUGAGGAAAUUGAAGUCCCAAAAGGAAAACUGACCCACCUAGUGUUAUUUAUUUAAGAACAGAUAUUAGACUCCAGUCUAAUCUAUCCUCUUCGCUCUUCCUGUUGUACUGAGGACAUCCCUGUAACGAAUCGGGAAUAGAAACAGUAUGGUUUUAUCAGGUUGAUCAUAGUUGGGAAUAAGAAUUUGU